GUGUCAGCAGCCGCGGUAAGACGAAGGAUUCAAGCGUUGUCCGGAUUUACUGGGUUUAAAGGGUGCGUAGGCGGAACUUUAAGUCAGUGGUGAAAGCUCUCGGCUCAACCGAGAAAUUGCCAUUGAAACUGAUUUUCUUGAAUACAGUUGAGGUAGAUGGAAUAUAACAUGUAGCGGUGAAAUGCUUAGAUAUGUUAUAGAACACCGAUUGCGAAGGCAGUCUGCUAAGCUGUUAUUGACGCUGAGGCACGAAAGCGUGGGGAGCAAACAGGAUUAGAUACCCUGGUAGUCC
This 292-nucleotide ribosomal RNA is filed under the name uncultured bacterium. RNAcentral's name for it is "partial 16S ribosomal RNA". It matches the Rfam family "Bacterial small subunit ribosomal RNA", at positions 505 to 796 of the family's 1533-position model. The record is from RNAcentral.